RNAcentral lists this ribosomal RNA (409 nucleotides) under bacterium. RNAcentral describes it as "partial 16S ribosomal RNA". It matches the Rfam family "Bacterial small subunit ribosomal RNA", at positions 355 to 776 of the family's 1533-position model. The record is from RNAcentral.
UGGGGAAUAUUGCACAAUGGGCGAAAGCCCGAUGCAGCGACGCCGCGUGAGGGAUGACGGCCUUCGGGUUGUAAACCUCUUUCAGCAGGGACGAAGCGCAAGUGACGGUACCUGCAGAAGAAGCACCGGCUAACUACGUGCCAGCAGCCGCGGUAAUACGUAGGGUGCAAGCGUUGUCCGGAAUUACUGGGCGUAAAGAGUUCGUAGGCGGUUUGUCGCGUCGUUUGUGAAAACCAGCAGCUCAACUGCUGGCUUGCAGGCGAUACGGGCAGACUUGAGUACUGCAGGGGAGGCUGGAAUUCCUGGUGUAGCGGUGAAAUGCGCAGAUAUCAGGAGGAACACCGGUGGCGAAGGCGGGUCUCUGGGCAGUAACUGACGCUGAGGAACGAAAGCGUGGGUAGCGAACAGG